Molecule: unclassified non-coding RNA, 1643 nt
Filed under: Hevea brasiliensis (rubber tree)
Lineage: Eukaryota; Viridiplantae; Streptophyta; Magnoliopsida; Malpighiales; Euphorbiaceae
Source: RNAcentral
CGGAGCUGGGGAUACUCCCACUCAGGCUUUACAGGUUGAGCUGCAUUUCCUUUCUUAUUUAUUUUGGAUGUAUGCUAUAUUAUAUGAGGAAGCUCUAUCAGCUUUCUGCUUUUCCCCAUUUUUUAUACUUUUCUUAUUUUCGUUCUAUUGUGCCAUAUUUAAAAAUUUUUUAUAAGCUUUUAGGCUUUGCGGUGUUUAUGCAUACGAGGUUUUACAAGUUGAGUGGCACCUUCUUAUUUAUUUAAAUCCAUUAAUAAUUUCAUAAUGAAUUUAUACUGUUAUUAUUUUACCCAUUUUCCCAUCAGACCAGACUUAUGCAACAUUCUGCUUUUAAGAUGGGAUGCGUGUGCAGGUAGCCGGUUUGAAUUUUGAAGCUUAGCCAGAAGUAGAAAAUAACUACCAAACACUUUGUGUGAAAUUUAUUGAAUUUUGCCAACCACUUGCUUCUGCAGUGCCUUGUGAGCUUUGAGCUCAUAUAUUUUAGUUAUUGUGGGAGUCUUAGAAUAAUAAAUACUCUCCUUAUAUGGGGGAAGUGCGUGUGAACAGUUUGUGCAGUAUCAUUUGGUAAGACAGAGGUAGAAGAUAAUAAGAGCACAUGCAUAUAACUUUGCCAACCAGUGGCUUUUGAGCUUUGCGUCCUUUUCUUCUUUUGUUGAUUGGCAGCUGUGUUCAAUACUUUGUUCUGUUUUUAGGUGUUUACUAAGAAGUAAGAAUAUCAUUUAAAAAAAAAACAGUUUACUAUGGGUGUUUACUUAUUGUUUAUCAUGGCAAGUGGAAGAAUGUUUUGAUUCAGCUGAGUUUUGUAGCAUAAAGCAUCCAAAUAUCUUUUUGAGAUUGUUUGUUUCCUUCUGGAUCCUUUUUUUUCUUAAAUUCAUUUCAUCAUAUCUAUUUUAUUAUAUCUUAUUUCUUUACUUCUUCAUUCAUGUGCCAUGUGUAGAUCAUGCAAUUACCUGACUUUUGAAACGCUAUCGCUAUUUACAAAUUAUUUCUUGGUUAACCGGGUAAAAUAUUUUGAUUUCUGUUGGAUCCAUGCCAACAAUUAUAUAGCGUUAUCAUGUUAAUGGUUGUGAUCAAUUGGGAUAGUGAUGAUCCGAAUGGGGCUAUGAUCUUCAAUUCACAGCCUGAUUAAUGUGCUUUCAAAGUGCCGUUCAAUGGCGAUCGAGACACAUAGAUGGGUAAAAAGGUGGUGAAUAUUCUCUCAAUGAAUGAAUUUACUGUAUUUUCUUUCUUAUGUGUUCAUAACCUGAUUAGGGUAACCCAGUACCUAGACUAGUGAAUUUGUAUUGAUAAUUAUCGAGAAGUAGAUAUAUACACACUUGUUUUAUGAUCUGAUGUUAUAAAUCCUGCUUUUUGACUUUCUGAAGCACAAUGGACUGUCAGAUUGAGGGCACUAGGACAUAAGGAAGGUAGGAAUUAUUAAAAAUAUUGAACUUUUAUGAAAAUAAAGAAAUGAAAGUUAAUGUACCAAUCGGCCAGAUGCUCGAUUUUAGAGUUGUUUUUUCCCCCCUUGAAUUUGGGCAUCUGGUAUAAUUUAUUAGUCUUUUCUGGGUUGACAUAGUAUGUGUGCAAGGUGCCUGAUGAACUUUUGUGGAAAUCUAGGAUAUUUUUUAACAUAUUGCUUAACAGAUGUGACUAGUCUUUUG